AUACGGAUGGUGCGAGCGUUGUUCGGAAUUACUGGGCGUAAAGGGCGCGUAGGCGGCGAUGUAAGUCAAAUGUGAAAGUCCUCGGCUUAACCGGGGAAGUGCAUCUGAAACUGCAUUGCUUGAGUAUGGGAGAGGAAAGUGGAAUUCCCGGUGUAGAGGUGAAAUUCGUAGAGAUCUGGAGGAAUACCGGUGGCGAAGGCGACUUUCUGGACCAAUACUGACGCUGAGGCGCGAAAGCGUGGGGAGCAAACAGGAUUAGAAACCCUAGUAGUCC
Molecule: ribosomal RNA, 274 nt
Filed under: uncultured bacterium
Lineage: Bacteria
Description: partial 16S ribosomal RNA
Rfam family: Bacterial small subunit ribosomal RNA
Source: RNAcentral